Molecule: long non-coding RNA, 275 nt
Filed under: Malus domestica (apple)
Lineage: Eukaryota; Viridiplantae; Streptophyta; Magnoliopsida; Rosales; Rosaceae
Description: long non-coding RNA (MDOM_LNC006355)
Source: RNAcentral
GGGAAUGCUGGUAGGGUCAGCCCAGUUGGCAUGGAUAGUAGAGAUAUCGGGGAGAACUUAAAAGCAUAUUCGUAUGAAAGCCCAGUUGGCAUGGAUGGUAGAGAUAUUGAGGAGAACUUAAAAGCAUAUUCGUAUGAAGGGACAAGUACUUUCAGUUCAGAGGCUAAAAGUUCCCAUACUCAGACAUUCACCACUGAUGGAGGUCAUAGGAUGGUCCAAAAUUUGAGUAUGUCUGCAUUGUCUGUCAUUGAUGAUAUUUCAGAGUCUUAUUCAUC